Molecule: ribosomal RNA, 2904 nt
Filed under: Escherichia coli
Lineage: Bacteria; Pseudomonadati; Pseudomonadota; Gammaproteobacteria; Enterobacterales; Enterobacteriaceae
Description: 23S ribosomal RNA
Rfam family: Bacterial large subunit ribosomal RNA
Source: RNAcentral
GGUUAAGCGACUAAGCGUACACGGUGGAUGCCCUGGCAGUCAGAGGCGAUGAAGGACGUGCUAAUCUGCGAUAAGCGUCGGUAAGGUGAUAUGAACCGUUAUAACCGGCGAUUUCCGAAUGGGGAAACCCAGUGUGUUUCGACACACUAUCAUUAACUGAAUCCAUAGGUUAAUGAGGCGAACCGGGGGAACUGAAACAUCUAAGUACCCCGAGGAAAAGAAAUCAACCGAGAUUCCCCCAGUAGCGGCGAGCGAACGGGGAGGAGCCCAGAGCCUGAAUCAGUGUGUGUGUUAGUGGAAGCGUCUGGAAAGGCGCGCGAUACAGGGUGACAGCCCCGUACACAAAAAUGCACAUGCUGUGAGCUCGAUGAGUAGGGCGGGACACGUGGUAUCCUGUCUGAAUAUGGGGGGACCAUCCUCCAAGGCUAAAUACUCCUGACUGACCGAUAGUGAACCAGUACCGUGAGGGAAAGGCGAAAAGAACCCCGGCGAGGGGAGUGAAAAAGAACCUGAAACCGUGUACGUACAAGCAGUGGGAGCACGCUUAGGCGUGUGACUGCGUACCUUUUGUAUAAUGGGUCAGCGACUUAUAUUCUGUAGCAAGGUUAACCGAAUAGGGGAGCCGAAGGGAAACCGAGUCUUAACUGGGCGUUAAGUUGCAGGGUAUAGACCCGAAACCCGGUGAUCUAGCCAUGGGCAGGUUGAAGGUUGGGUAACACUAACUGGAGGACCGAACCGACUAAUGUUGAAAAAUUAGCGGAUGACUUGUGGCUGGGGGUGAAAGGCCAAUCAAACCGGGAGAUAGCUGGUUCUCCCCGAAAGCUAUUUAGGUAGCGCCUCGUGAAUUCAUCUCCGGGGGUAGAGCACUGUUUCGGCAAGGGGGUCAUCCCGACUUACCAACCCGAUGCAAACUGCGAAUACCGGAGAAUGUUAUCACGGGAGACACACGGCGGGUGCUAACGUCCGUCGUGAAGAGGGAAACAACCCAGACCGCCAGCUAAGGUCCCAAAGUCAUGGUUAAGUGGGAAACGAUGUGGGAAGGCCCAGACAGCCAGGAUGUUGGCUUAGAAGCAGCCAUCAUUUAAAGAAAGCGUAAUAGCUCACUGGUCGAGUCGGCCUGCGCGGAAGAUGUAACGGGGCUAAACCAUGCACCGAAGCUGCGGCAGCGACGCUGAUGCGUUGUUGGGUAGGGGAGCGUUCUGUAAGCCUGCGAAGGUGUGCUGUGAGGCAUGCUGGAGGUAUCAGAAGUGCGAAUGCUGACAUAAGUAACGAUAAAGCGGGUGAAAAGCCCGCUCGCCGGAAGACCAAGGGUUCCUGUCCAACGUUAAUCGGGGCAGGGUGAGUCGACCCCUAAGGCGAGGCCGAAAGGCGUAGUCGAUGGGAAACAGGUUAAUAUUCCUGUACUUGGUGUUACUGCGAAGGGGGGACGGAGAAGGCUAUGUUGGCCGGGCGACGGUUGUCCCGGUUUAAGCGUGUAGGCUGGUUUUCCAGGCAAAUCCGGAAAAUCAAGGCUGAGGCGUGAUGACGAGGCACUACGGUGCUGAAGCAACAAAUGCCCUGCUUCCAGGAAAAGCCUCUAAGCAUCAGGUAACAUCAAAUCGUACCCCAAACCGACACAGGUGGUCAGGUAGAGAAUACCAAGGCGCUUGAGAGAACUCGGGUGAAGGAACUAGGCAAAAUGGUGCCGUAACUUCGGGAGAAGGCACGCUGAUAUGUAGGUGAAGUCCCUCGCGGAUGGAGCUGAAAUCAGUCGAAGAUACCAGCUGGCUGCAACUGUUUAUUAAAAACACAGCACUGUGCAAACACGAAAGUGGACGUAUACGGUGUGACGCCUGCCCGGUGCCGGAAGGUUAAUUGAUGGGGUCAGCGCAAGCGAAGCUCUUGAUCGAAGCCCCGGUAAACGGCGGCCGUAACUAUAACGGUCCUAAGGUAGCGAAAUUCCUUGUCGGGUAAGUUCCGACCUGCACGAAUGGCGUAAUGAUGGCCAGGCUGUCUCCACCCGAGACUCAGUGAAAUUGAACUCGCUGUGAAGAUGCAGUGUACCCGCGGCAAGACGGAAAGACCCCGUGAACCUUUACUAUAGCUUGACACUGAACAUUGAGCCUUGAUGUGUAGGAUAGGUGGGAGGCUUUGAAGUGUGGACGCCAGUCUGCAUGGAGCCGACCUUGAAAUACCACCCUUUAAUGUUUGAUGUUCUAACGUUGACCCGUGAUCCGGGUUGCGGACAGUGUCUGGUGGGUAGUUUGACUGGGGCGGUCUCCUCCUAAAGAGUAACGGAGGAGCACGAAGGUUGGCUAAUCCUGGUCGGACAUCAGGAGGUUAGUGCAAUGGCAUAAGCCAGCUUGACUGCGAGCGUGACGGCGCGAGCAGGUGCGAAAGCAGGUCAUAGUGAUCCGGUGGUUCUGAAUGGAAGGGCCAUCGCUCAACGGAUAAAAGGUACUCCGGGGAUAACAGGCUGAUACCGCCCAAGAGUUCAUAUCGACGGCGGUGUUUGGCACCUCGAUGUCGGCUCAUCACAUCCUGGGGCUGAAGUAGGUCCCAAGGGUAUGGCUGUUCGCCAUUUAAAGUGGUACGCGAGCUGGGUUUAGAACGUCGUGAGACAGUUCGGUCCCUAUCUGCCGUGGGCGCUGGAGAACUGAGGGGGGCUGCUCCUAGUACGAGAGGACCGGAGUGGACGCAUCACUGGUGUUCGGGUUGUCAUGCCAAUGGCACUGCCCGGUAGCUAAAUGCGGAAGAGAUAAGUGCUGAAAGCAUCUAAGCACGAAACUUGCCCCGAGAUGAGUUCUCCCUGACUCCUUGAGAGUCCUGAAGGAACGUUGAAGACGACGACGUUGAUAGGCCGGGUGUGUAAGCGCAGCGAUGCGUUGAGCUAACCGGUACUAAUGAACCGUGAGGCUUAACCUU